GAAAAACCCGUACCACGCCCCUCCUCUCGAUCCAGAGAAAAACCCGUACCACGCCCCCUCCUCUCGAUCCAGAUGCGACCUCUCUCCCGCUCCGCCGCCGCCCCUACUGCUCAGCCGCCGCCCCCUCGAUCUGUUUCCUGUGGCCAGAUCCGGCCGGGGAGCCGCCGUAGAGCCUCCACGUCGUCGGAGCAGAGCAGCCCGAGGUGGGUGCCGAUCUCGUCCCGCAGAUCACCGGCGGGGCCACGACCACCUCAUUCACUGUCGCGGUGGUGUUUCUCCCCGCGUCGCCGUCGUUGGUUCGCCUCACCCUCCUCACCCUGUCGGCUGCAACCGCUCCUACCCUCCACGGUGCUCCUCUUUGGCAUCCACCGCAGGCCAGUGAGCGGCCACGACCAGAAGUCAGGGAGGCCUCUAUUCCUCAUGAACCGGGAUGCGGUUCUGGCUUGUGGGCACAUGAGAGCCUGACGAUUUGAACACUAGCCUGUUUUCUUCUGUAGGAAAGUGGCAUCCUUGACCUGAUGGAAAGUUGGAGACAGACAUCAAAUUGGCUGCGGAUCAUUCUGAAUGCUGGAUUUCAUGCCAUCACUCUGACGAAAGCAUCUGUGCAUCUGUUCUGUUCUGUAUGUUGCCAGCUUGGCCUGCUGCUAUAAAUAUAGCACCAAAUCUACCAGGUUCAAACCAUUCAUUGCCUCAUUAGAAGCCUUCCAGUGUUCAUUGUCGCAAGGUAACCGACUCUUUUGGCUUUCUGCAAGUGUUUUUAUUUUCUCUACUCAUAUGUUCGCUGGAGCCAGGAUAUGUUCAGGCUAAUCAUGCUGGAUUGAGGUGUCAUGGUAGAUGUAUUAACACAUAGGUUGCUGUCUGAUUGUGUUAUUCUACCUCGACUGCAACCGGUCAUGGUCGUCUCUGCGCUGCCGCCCCCUCGCAUCGCGCCGUUGCCUCGCGUAGGACUACGAGCAUGUGACGCUAGGUCGAGGUUUUCUUGUCUCGUCAGGAUUCUCGUGCUGCGAAUUUAGUAAUGGGGCAAUUUUUUGGGUGUCCUAAUUUGUUUGCGGAUUGAUGAGAAUUUGGCGAGGGAGAUCUUAAACCACCUGUCGCUGCGGCACAUCAAUUGUUGAAUUCGCUUGAAGGAGGCGAUGGCGAACAACAUGGGAACAAGGAGGAACUUUACAUCGAGCCGAUGUUUCCUCUCUCCCAUUCUCUUUCCUUUCCGAGCCGUUCACAAUCGUUAGAGGUGGACAUUGAUUGGGAGGGAGGAUAAGAGGCCUCAGAUCGUGGAUCCUCUUUGAUCCGGACCUCCUCGACGCCUUGCGCGCCGUCAUCUACGCAUACUCCACGCGCUCUGGUGCGAAGUGUCCACACAUGCGCCCGACUGGGACGAGCUCGGCGUGCUUCUGCCAGGCCAAAUGGUGCCAUGCCCCUGCUGUUGUGGACCUGUGGUGGUACAUCAGCGAAGAUGAUGAUGAGGUGGCGCUACACGAGCGGUCGUGCCGCCACCCGAUGCACCAUCACGCCUUGCGCAGGGGUGCAAGCAAGAUGGCCUGGUUCAUCAUGUGCGGCGCAUGGAGUGGUCGGCUGGUUGCCAUUGGCUCUAUGAACAUGGCUCGGCCGCUGCCAUCACUGUGAACCGCAUGUUGUUCCUCAGAUGCAACAAGAAUGACUUCUUGGGUUCACUGUACUUUCUAAAUGGUUGUAACUUUUUUGCUUCUGAAGUGUCACAGGAUACCAAAAAUCUCGAUGAUAUAUUAGUCACCUGCAGUCCUUGACAAGAAUUGAUCCAAAGGACGAAGACUUAUAAAGUCCUCAAGCUCAUAAACUACAGGAAGUUGGAAGCAGAGAAAAUGGAUUGGGACAAGGAGCCAGACAGAGGAUGAGGAGGGGCUCAGCGGAACAAAUGGCCAAGGAGAAAAAAAUAGCUAUCGCCACAAGCAUCAGGAUAUGUGGGCUUCAUGUAAGGUUCGUUGCAUUCACCUUAUUGAAGAUAAUAAACACUUAUUGAGGAACAUGCUAAGGAUGGAGGAACGGACGUCAAGUUCCAGUAUGCAGCUCGAUUCAUUGCUCAGGAUAAUUCAGAAUCUAAAAUUUGAAGGUGAGGUAGAGGAAUAUUGCCAUACCUGAGGGCGUCGCUGUCCGGUUUAUUUUUGCUGUUCGGAUCGCUGCAAGGGAUACGGGUGCCAGGACGACACCAUCUUCUGCGGCGUCUUGGACGGGCACGACCAGUGGGGCCACUACGCGGCCAAGGCCGUCCGGGAGUCGCUGCUGCAAUCGCUUCUGUGCCGCUGGCAGGAGGCCGUCGCGCUGGCGUCGCUCAUCGACGGCGAGAAGAGGCUCAGCAACUGCCAGUUCGACCUCUUGAGGCAGUCCUACCUGGCCGCCGCCGCCGCCGUGGACGAGGAGCUCCCCGGAUUCGGCGCCUUGACGCCGACAACAGCGGCUGCACGGCUCUGUCCAUGGUGAAGCAGGGCGACCUGAUGGUGGUCGUGAACGUCGGCGACUCGCGGGCCGUCCGUGCGACCACGUCGGACGACGGGGACGUCACGACCAUCCAGCUCACCGUCGACUUCAUGCCCGACUUACCCCGUAAGUCGUCGUGAGAAGACUAGAAGACGGACAGUCCAUUCCUGACACGGCCAUUGCUCACCCACGUUCGAAUCUGAAUCGGAGAGGAGAAGGCGCGCAUCAUGCAGUGCGAGGGCUGCGUGCACUGCCUCGACGACGAGCCCGGCGUGCACCGGGUGUGGAUGCCCCACCGGGAGGCGCCGGGUCUGGCCAUGUCGCACACGUUCGGCGACUACUGCAUUAAGGACUACGACGUCAUCUCGGCGCCGGAGGUGACGCAGAGGAGGAUCACCGCGCGGGACCAAUUCGUCAUCCUGGCCACCGACGGGGGGUUGUUCAGAAAGCCUCCACGCCCUCGCCACGGAGCGGAUCGGACGGAGCGACCUUCUGACCACUCUGUAGAUUAUAGUGGCAUGCCACUCCGCUCUGGAGCGGAGCUGUGGAGUGGGAGUGAGUCCGAACACACCUUUAGUAUUACAUGGAGUAGUAAUUGCUGGGACCAGAUCCAUGCACCAUCAUCUGAAACCCAUGUAUUCAUGAGGUAAAACUAAGUAGUUGUGGCAGCUUUGGAUGAGACAACCCAAUUCCUGGUAAAUUGGACAUCAUCAAUGAGUUUGUCGAGUUUGAUUGAACUCUCACACUUUGAACAUGCUCUAUUUAAAGCAAGGCCAUCCCUGUCAUAACAGAUACAGUAAAAUGCCAACACAUAUAUGAUUGAUGUUAUGACAAUAUACUUGACUUUGGGGGUGACGAGAUCGACGGAAGCAACAGGAGCCCACAACUCUUGAGUUCAGCGGCGUCUACAUGCCCUACAUUGCCUAGCAUCACCGGCAACAAGUUCAUCGCUGUUUGAGAAGGUGCCCUGCAGGGACAACCUGACACGGCCAUUGCUCACCCACGUUCGAAUCUGAAUCGCAGAGGAGAAGGCGCGCAUCAUGCAGUGCGAGAAGACUAGAAGACGGACAACCUCCGUCGACCUGUCAUCGAACUUCACUGCUUGAGGCAGGAGCAGUGAAUAGCAUUGACCAGUAGGAGCAAGAAGAAGCGUCAGCUACCAUUGCUGGCUGAGCUAGCUGCUAGCUUCGGUUACUUGCGACGGGUUGUGGGCUGCAAGUUAGAAGAAUCGGUGCUGAAAACGUCUUCUGAAUGUUAAAAAGCCAAUGGGGUAGAAAGCUAUGGAGAUAAUUGAUUUGUUUCCAUAUCUAUCUUUCUGUAUUCAGACUCGGGGGGAGAAGGUGCUUCAUGCUGAUGGUGUAUAUAAGCUUGGCACAGGUAUGGACUUCAAUGUCAGGUUUUGGUGAGUAGCCCGAGCUUCCUGUUUUCUCUACAGAUUCAGAAUGAAAAGAAAAACAAUCAAUUUCAGAGUUUAUUGCAGAAUUUAGAAGAUCAAUGUAUUGUUGCAUUUUCACCUGUCGGCAUGUUUAAUAGACCAUUUUCUAAUGUUUUGGUGACCUGAUGUAUUGAUUCUUGGGGUGUGUGACCAACUGAUCAUGCAGUAUGUACUUUCAUCUAUUUCUAAAUAGAUGGUGUUUUUGUACAUAGUGAAGAAGCAUUGCAAGACUCCAUCAGAAAAUGGACCCGCGGUAGACUGCAUCCGCAUCGGCGCAUGGGCGAUGCCGACAUUGGACAGCGGCAGAGCGUGCAAAGUCUGCGCUUCUGACGGACCUUCACCACCAAUUGCCAUGCUCUCUACCAUCCUUCUCGCUCCUCCCCAUCUCUAUGCCACAGCUCGCAGGCUAGCCCAACCUCUGCUGCCUUCCUUUCUGCCUCACCUCCCCUGAACUAUCUGCGCCGGCGGGACCUUCUUUUGUGAGACAGGAACUUGGGCGUGGUUCAGUCUUUUUUUGGGGGCUCAGUUCAGUCUGUGGUAUGGUUCAGUUUAAUGAAAUAACGAAGAUGACUUGCGUGACCCGCUCCUGUGUGAGAUAGAAAAUUGGGCUUGCAGUCUGGGCUUGCAGAGUUGCAGUUCAGUUAUGGUGUGGUUAAGUUGAGAGUAAAAGAUUCUCUCAAAUAAAAGUUGAGAGUAAAAGAAUGAAAAAGCAAAAGAGAGAGGAUAAGAAAUGUGUGCUAGAGAAAAAAUCCUUCCAUUUUUUUUACUCUCCACUGCACCUGUGCUUUCAUUAGCUGCGGUUUGGGACUAUCCAAAUUUUUAAGUGUCAUUCUCCUCUCCUAUGUAGUACUCCCUCCGUUCCUAAAUAUUUGUCUUUCUAGAGAUUUCAACAAGUGACUACAUACAGAUGCAUAUAGACAUAUUUUAGAGUGUAGAUUCACUUAUUUUGCUUCGUAUGUAGUCAUUUGUUGAUAUCUCUAGAAAGACAAAUAUUUAGGAAUGGAGGGAGUACAAUUUAGUGCUUCUGCCUACUUAUGUUAAGAUACAACUAUUUAGGAGUUUCUGCCAAGUAAAUAGAAGUGCGCUUUUCCUGACGGGCAUUAGUAUACUUCAGUUCUCUUUUUCGUGCCGAGUAUACUUCAGUUCUACUAAAACAUCCAUCUUAUUUGUAUGCAAAUAUUUGUUAUCAUUCAUGUUAGCUAUAUAUAUAUAUAUACUAAGUUCAACAUGCA
Long non-coding RNA from Triticum aestivum (bread wheat), 5118 nucleotides. RefSeq lists it as uncharacterized. The transcript has 14 exons. Lineage: Eukaryota; Viridiplantae; Streptophyta; Magnoliopsida; Poales; Poaceae. The record is from RefSeq and is a predicted model, not a curated record.